This is a non-coding RNA of Agelaius phoeniceus (red-winged blackbird), 1906 nucleotides long. The record is from RefSeq and is a predicted model, not a curated record. NCBI's taxonomy places the organism in Eukaryota, Metazoa, Chordata, Aves, Passeriformes, Icteridae.
CAGGCAGGUGGCAAGGCUGAUAAGGGCUGCUGCUCUCCAUAGCCCGCCGGCGGGGGGAGAAACGGAUGGUAGGAUUAUUUAUGAUUCCCGGGAAAGGCGGCUGGAUAGACACACCUGUUUGUACGUGGGAGCUGUGCCGCCUCCCGCCCGCGAACGGGACCGAGCCGCAGCUCGGGAGGGGCGCCGGGCCAGGGGCGCUCGGGUGUCCCCCAGGGGAGGCCGUCGCAGCCGCCUCCCGGCACGGAGCUGGCACAUCAGUUCUACGAGGUACGGAGCUGGUGCAGCCGUACACGGGCAGCCCUUACUGCUUGAAAUAAAGUAAAGCUUUCCCACAGCAGGCCUUAGACGCCGCUGAGGUUAAUCCCCGAACCUCGUGUUCAGGCAGGACCAGGAGUGCUGCCUGAAGAGUUUUCUCCUGUAGAAAAGUAGAGUCGUCAUUCAUGUCCGUAAGCCUGCACUUUAGAACGCUGCAUAAACUUAAUCUACAAAUGCAGUUGCCCAGUUACCACAAUAGAGGAAGGUGAGGAAUCAGGGAAGCCUAACACAAAAGUAGAAUUUGGCAUAUUUGAUAACUCCAAUGAGAUUCCUGAAGUUUUGCUCAUGUGCAAUGGUGGCUUUUCAUUAAUGCCUUUGAAGGCUAAUUCAGCCCAGUCCUCCAUCACCAUUGCAUUUAAGUGACAUAACCUGAUAUUCUCCUGCUUUAUUAUAACAAACACCAAAUUAUCUCUGUCUGAAUUCAAGGGACGCAAAACCCAGUUUCAUUGAAUCAUCAGCUUUAUUGAUUUAUUUAUGUAAGCUGCUCUCUUCCAGUUUUAGGGGUUUUGGGUUUUGGUGGGCUUUGUUUGUUUGUGGGUUUUUGUUUGUUUUGGCAUUUUGCUUGUUUGCUGUUUUGUGGUUUUUAAAUUACUGUUCUGCCUACUUAAGCAUGUAUACACUUUAAAUCAGCUUCUGUUAUGCUUAUACAUCUUGACGAGAUUCUUCAGCAGCAGCCAGUUACAUACAAGUAUCUUGCUUUUGGAAGAACACACUACAGAUGUCAUUACUGCAUAUUUCUCCCUUAAACUUACUGAAAUUGGAAGCAUGCAUUCUCAGUGGUCGUUUGAAUCCACCGGUGAGACUCAUCACAGAUCACUUCUGCCCUGAGGUCACCUGCCCAAACCCUAGCUAAUUGGUACAAAAAGAUAAUUAAAGACUCGGGAGAGUAAGACUAGUGUCCCAACAUGCUCAUCCUUAACAUCUUCAGCAAAUCUUGCUUCUUUCACAUAAAAAUCUCUUGAAAACACAGACUAAUAUCUACCUAUAUUUUCUGUUUUGGAUAGGAUAAAAAUGUUAAUCUUUUCCUUGUCAAAACUAAAGAAAGCCUAGUUUUUAAUUACACUGUUUUCUUCAUCCCUAAUGUUAAAUUCCCCAGAAGAUGUAUGUACCAGUAUUUGCUUCAAUUGUUCUUCUUUGUGAAAAGGGUUGUGAUGGUCAAAGUAAUUCAAUUCAUCCAGAGCUCCCUGGAAGAUUGCUGUGCAUUUUUAGCUUGCAAGUCUCUAAAUGAGGAUAAUUGAAAAUCAGAAGGGCAAGCUGGAUUAAACAUCUCCUCAGCCAUAUGUAUUUGUUCUGUCUCCUUUGCAGACAAUUCAUAUCACCAUGUUAUCUAAAUCUCUUUAUUUUUUCUCCUAAGGAUUUUUGGCAUAGACUACACUGCUUAUUUUGACACAUGAAGACAAAAUAUUUUAUAUUAAUAGCUCUUUCACCAAAUGCAUUUUUAGAAACUCCACAGCAAACAUCUUCAGCUAGAGUGAAUAAAUGUAUUUCAUCCUUGUUAACAGAUCACUCAGCUAUUCAUUGUGCAGUUGAAUUCUUGAACAGCUUUCUAUCAAGUGCUUCUUUCCAAAUUGCAAUAAAAAGAGUAACUACA